Arachis ipaensis is the source of this 665-nucleotide non-coding RNA. The record is from RefSeq and is a predicted model, not a curated record. Lineage: Eukaryota; Viridiplantae; Streptophyta; Magnoliopsida; Fabales; Fabaceae.
ACUCCAACCCUUCUUUUCAUAUUUUUACUCCUCAUUUGAUCAGAAACCCAAACCCUAGCAGAGCCCCAAUCCCAUCGAAACUAAAACCUAGCCGAGCUUCUUCCCCAAAUUCAUGGAGGUUCCACCGGCGUCAGCACCGUCUCGCCGCCGAUUUGAGUUUGCACGACCACCCCUCACCUUAUUCUAGAAGGAAAUUCACUUCAAUCCUUCGUUUGCAUUCGUGUUCCAUCAUCGCAGUUCACGUCGGUUCACCGCCACUGUAUGCUUGCCGUCGUCGCUGCCGCGCCUUUAGUCGGAUCCUCCGCGUCGCGUGCUCGCGUUUGGUCUCUCUCCUCUGUCACUCUCUUGCUUGGCGUCGAGUUCGCCGUCGACGAGGAAGCUUUGCCACCGUUUCUCCAGUGCUUCGCAUACGGAGAUACUAAAUAAGAGCAAAUUGUUUGCUAUUGAUACUGGAAACAGGGGCUACCCUCCGAAUAAGAAUUUCACUUACAAUGACAAUGUAUAUUUCUUCUUCAAGUUGAGGGCUUAUCAAGAGUAUGCUGCGGAAAAAUCCAGAGCUUAGGUAAGCAUCUGCUACAUAUACUAUCAUCUACUCUUAGACAUCCAAACCUCAUUGAGCACACUAGUGAGAAAGCCAAGGAAGCUAAAGAUAUACAAGUGAGAAA